This 609-nucleotide small RNA is filed under the name chicken gut metagenome. The record is from RNAcentral.
UCGAUUAGGGAUGGUGCAGUAUUCUAGUCAAUCCUCCGUUUCUGAAGGCGGGGCUAAAAAUCCGCUAAAGGGCACAUCGAUGAAGUUCCUUGUGUUGGCUUGAGGCGCCCAGCCUUGGGUUAAUGCUGGGAGUUAAGGAUUUCGGGCGAUCCACAAAGGCAUGUGGGCGUUUGACCCGAUUUCCGUGGAGGCCCAUCUCUGUAGUAGGCACUAAGCCUAGUGGCUAUUAUGGAAUGGGGUAUGAACCUAUGAUAAAUGGUAAGGGAAUCCAUUUAAAUAGCGUAGCCUGCCUUGAGUGGUAUCUGAGGGGAUUAGAGCGUAAAAUCAUGGAAGAGAUGGCCACUCUUCAAUGAUUAAGAUUCUAUGAAAUCAGUACUGCAAAAGAGGCUAGGAAGCGGUUAAAGAUUGCUGAGGAAAUCUCCUAGACUGUUUGAAUAAACAUCCAAUAGGGAUUAUAGUGUGGACUAAGUGGUAAUCCAGUCUAGUACAUGGUGACAUGGCUAAGAUGGCUUUAAAGGGGAACCGCCUUUUUGGCAACAAAAGGUAUCUAUCUGGGAAAACCUACUGGACCUAAGCCACAGUUUUAACCUAUUGGGUGACCAUCCCUCG